UUAUGGGAUAAAUAGUUUCGACUGCCAGAUCAUGUAGCUUUUGCUCGUGACGAUCGUUUCAAGUUCGAAUCCUGCUCGCUGCCCUUCCUCAUGGUCAUUCGGGAGUCUUGGACUAGGAUGUGAACCAAGCUUGAAAGACGAAAAGUAGAAGACCAACUGUGACAUUUGUAUUCCUUUACUUUCAAACUACCUAACCCUAACCCUAACAAUGAAGGCAAUCAUUCUUUUAACCAUUUUGCUGGUCUCUUGUGCUGUAUAUGGUGAAAUGUCAGCUGAAGAAACCAGAGCAGUGAAUGAAAAUAAUGCUGUAGAAACAGAGCUGGCUGAAAGCACUGAGAAAAAGAAACGUGUAAUGUAUGGUUGCAGUUUCAAUUCUUACUUAUGUAUAUAAUGAUACUGAUAACUUUUAAGCAGACAGUAAACUGGCUGACAUUCUGGAAAAUUCGAAAUUCGUUGUUUUAAAUUUAAUAAAGCAUAAAUAAGCAAA
Biomphalaria glabrata is the source of this 487-nucleotide long non-coding RNA. RefSeq lists it as uncharacterized. Lineage: Eukaryota; Metazoa; Mollusca; Gastropoda; Planorbidae. The transcript has 6 exons. The record is from RefSeq and is a predicted model, not a curated record.